Oncorhynchus kisutch (coho salmon) is the source of this 466-nucleotide long non-coding RNA. RefSeq lists it as uncharacterized. The record is from RefSeq and is a predicted model, not a curated record. NCBI's taxonomy places the organism in Eukaryota, Metazoa, Chordata, Actinopteri, Salmoniformes, Salmonidae. The transcript is spliced from 4 exons.
CUCUCUCUCUCUCUCUCUCUCUGUUACCUUAUCCAUCUCUAUCUCUGGCACUGACCAACCAGCUCUCCAGAGCUAAGGAGGAGAAGAGACAGACUAGACUGCAAGGGAUUGACAGACAGAAGGACAGACAGACAGAGUGACGGGUCUUCGUUGGGGACCUGGAAAAAGUUGAGGACAUUUCUGUUGUGGAUGACAGCUGAGAGAGAGAGAGAGGGGUCCUGUGUAAACGUCGGCUGUGACAGCAGUGUUUCCAUGGCUCUGGAUGGUUUCAACAAUCUCCUCCACAAACUGAGGGAGUCCCACGACCGAGAGGUCCAAAAAUGGCAAGAGAAAUUGCAGGAGCUAACCAAUAAAAAGGGCUGUGACACAAAGAGAAUGGAGGAGCUGUUCAACAGGAACCAACAGCUGAGAGAGCAGCAGAGGUUACUCACAGACAACAUCAAACAGCUGGAAAACAGGUGGGUGG